Molecule: long non-coding RNA, 3108 nt
Organism: Olea europaea var. sylvestris
Lineage: Eukaryota; Viridiplantae; Streptophyta; Magnoliopsida; Lamiales; Oleaceae
Exons: 2
Source: RefSeq, a predicted model, not a curated record
UAUUAAAGUUAAAAUGGAAUAUCAAAGAAGUUGAUCUGAUCCUCGCUCCGUCAAGGCCGGUCUACAGUUUCUGGUUGGCAGGAUCGCCAAUAUCGCCAAUACUUGAAGAAAGGCCGCUAUUUAUUGGAGCUCCGGUUUAUAUGGCUGCUGUCCUCAAGUACCUUGCUGAUGAGGUAUAAAAACUCUUCUCAACUCAAUAUUUGCACGCAUUCCAAAUUUCAUAUAGAUUAUUGCUGUAAAGGUAAUUUUUUGUUGAAUUAUUAUGUACCUCAUGAGUUUUGUUCAAUCCUUAGCUUUGUGGCAAGUUAACUGGUACUAAUUAAUUAGAGAAGAACAGUAAUUGAACUAUAGUAUUAAAAUUCCUCUUUGAUUUCAGUUGGUUUUUAUGAAUUACACGAGCCAAUAUCUCUUUAUUGUGUGGAUGAUUACCUUGGGAGAGAUUAGAUUAAGCACUUGGAUUUAGGGUUUUUUAAUUGACGUGGCUGUUUUUUGUUCCUUUGUUUGUUUAUAGCAUUUGGUAGGUUCUUUAUUUUCUCAUUGUAAAUGUUCUACGUCGACAAAGACUACUUAGAGAUCCCGAAGUCAUGACUUCUUACAGGGAAUUGUCAAAGAAAGCACAGAAAGCAAAUAACUUAGGGUGGCGUUUAAGCUGUUUGCUCGGGGAUCAAAAUCGCUUGUUUAUGUAUAUUUUGCUUCAAGCUGUAUUCACGGUGGCAACUAUGGCACGUACGGUCCCCAUAUUCUUGUCUUACGAUUUGCAUGUCAUUUUCCAAAUACUCAAAAGUUUCUGCAUCCGUAUGGAACGGAGGAAACUUCCUACUCGAAGUGAUGCCACGGCAAGUCAUUCUCAAAGAGAAGAAGAAAAUCGAGAUGCACCCUAUUGAGAAACCACGAGAUCAAUCAGCACUCGAGAACUCAAUGGACGCAAAUAAUUCUUCUGCAAUACUCAAAUCUUAGCAGGUGUGCACAAAUAAAUUGUCUUGUAAAACUGUUUUCUCUUUCUCUGAUGUCUGUUGGUGUGAACGUAGGCUGAUUUAUUUGCUUUGCUCUAAAGAAAUUUCCUUUUUCUACAUGCUAUAUAUUUUGAUAUGGCCUGAUUUAUAAACUAGGUGAAAUGAAAUGUGAAAUUAUGCUUCCUUUUCAAGUCUUGGAAUUGGAACUUAAUUUGAAGACUUGAUAAGUUGCUAGAUUUAAGGAUUCAUGCUGGACUCUGGUAUUGUGAUAAUUGUUUAGAAGCAUCUGCUUAUAUAUGCUGUUUUUGGCCAUUUAUGGCAGAUAAGACAGACGGCUUUUUAUUAGUAGAUCACUUCGACUUAUGACUUUUGAUCACUUUAUUAUGUUUUAUUAUUUUCCUCUGUGUUUUUGUCUUCAACCUUGCAAUGCACAAGGUUGUGUAGAGCAGUUUGUCAUAGCGGGAUAAUGUGCUGACAGAGACCAAUUUUGACCUAUAAAAGAAAAGAGGAAGUAAGGAGUUACAAAGAUAUACUAAGUUACUGAUUUCCACCUUGGUCACAUUCUCUCAAGAUAUAUCGAAUUGUACAAUUAAAGACUUGUAUUUUCUAUUUAAGAUCCGUUUUUGGAAAAUCAAAAGUUGUUUCAGAAAUUAAGAAACUACUUUUGAACCAAUGAGGACAAUUUUUUGAAGGUGUUUUCUCUUAUUAGAAAAGCUUUUAAAAGAAAAUUGUUUAAGGUAACUUUCUUGAGAAGUUCUUCUGUAAGAAGCAGAAGCAAAAGCAAAAGCAAAAGUUAAAGCUAUGCCUAAAGGGUCCGUAUGAUUAUUGUUAUUUUUUCGUUUUUGGUGGAACUUAGAAUUUAAUAAAUUCGAGUAAAGUAAUGUUUCUAUUCGGCAUCAAUUUGUGUCACAUUGAAAGAUGGAUUCAAUUAAACGGGUCUUAGAUUCUUAACAUUUAAUGGAACAUAUCAUUUAAGCCCCGUUUGGCCCCCAUUCUUAACAGAAGGCUUUUUAUUAGUAGAUCACUUCGACUUAUGACUUUUGAUCACUUUAUUAUGUUUUAUUAUUUUCCUCUGUGUUUUUGUCUUCAAACUUGCAAUGCACAAGGUUGUGUAGAGCAAUUUGUCAUUGCAGGAUAAUGUGCUGACAAAGACCAAUUUUGACCUGUAAAAGAAAGAGGAAGUAAGGAGUUACAAAGAUAUACUGAGUUACUGAUUUCCACCUUGGUCACAUUCUCUCAAAAUAUAUCGAAUUGUACAAUUAAAGACCUGUAUUUUCUAUUUAAGAUCUGUUUUUGGAAAAUCAAAAGCUGUUUCAGAGAUUAAGAAACUACUUUUGAACCUAUGAGGACAAUUUUUUGAAGGUGUUUUGUCUUAUUAGAAAAGCUUUUAAAAGAAAAUUGUUUAAUGUAACUUUCUUGAGAAGUUCUUCUGUAAGAAGUAGAAACAAAAGCAAAAGUUAAAGCUAUGCCAAAAGGGUCUGUAUCAUCAUUGUUAUUUUUUUUUGUUUUUGGUGGAACUUAGAAUUUGAUAUAUUCGAGUAAAGUAAUGUUUUUAUUCGGCAUCAAUUUGUGUCACAUUGAAAGAUGGAUUCAAUUAAACGGGUCUUAGAUUCUUAACAUUUAAUGGAACAUAUCAUUUAAGCCCCGUUUGGCCCCCAUUCUUGACAGAAGGCUUUUUAUCAGUAGAUCACUUCGACUUAUGGCUUUUGAUCACUUUAUUAUGUUUUAUUAUUUUUCUUCUGUGUUUUUGUCUUCAACCUUGCAAUGCACAAGGUUGUGUAGAGCAGUUUGUCAUAGCAGGAUAAUGUGCUGACAGAGACCAAUUUUGACCUGUAAAAGAAAAGAGGAAGUAAGGAGUUAACAAAGAUAUACUGAGUUAUUGAUUUCCACCUUGGUCACAUUCUCUCAAGAUAUAUCGAAUUGUACAAUUAAAGACCUGUAUUUUGUAUUUAAGAUCUGUUUUUGGAAAAUCAAAAGUUGUUUCAGAGAUUAAGAAACUACUUUUGAACCUAUGAGGACAAUUUUUUGAAGGUGUUUUCUCUUAUUAGAAAAGCUUUUAAAAGAAAAUUGUUUAAUGUAACUUUCUUGAGAAGUUCUUCUGUAAGAAGUAGAAACAAAAGCAAAAGUUAAGGCUAUGCCAAAAGGGUUUGUAUCA